ACUGGAGGAGAGCUAAUAAACUGAAACCUCAUCCAGAGAGGACAGAGGCACCGUUCGUGGGUGGUUCUCUAGACUGGAUGGAUGGUUGUGGCCUGCUCUGGAUGGGUUACACUUGGGAGUACUUCUGGAUCCAUUGCUGUUUGAGGCACAGUCUCCUACACCACUGUCCACACCAUGUACCAACAUCAGAAGACCUGUUUUGUGGGACUGCUUGGGAGAGGAGAGGGCAGGCAAGUCACCUUCUGCCAGCCUCCUUCCACUGGCACUUCUUUGGAUCCAACCCAUUCUGUUUAACAAUUGAGGAAAACAGGAAACAAGAACAGGGAGAAGGGAAGUGCUGAAAUGAUAUGUGAUUUGUACAUUGCCUGCACCAUUAUUUUAGCCUUGUAUAAAGACUGUUCAGUAGCCUUUUAAGUUUCAUUGGUGGAACAUUGCAACAAAAUUGGUAAACUGUACAUCUAGUCUGUAGCUUUAAUCUGUAGUGAUCAUAUGCGGUUUGCCAUAAAGUAGAUCCCAUUGAACUUGCUUCCAAAUAAACAUGCAUAGAAUCAGAUUGAGAAAUCUCCCUCUUUAAAGAAUGGAUCAGGAUAUUUAUUGUUCUUCACUAUUUAACUAUUUAGUGCCAAACUAAGAGCCUAGUGUUGUGUAUUGCUGCAUGCUAAGUGCAGGUACAAUACCACCAGAGAUGGAGUUGUUUGUAAUGUUUAGUAUAUGAAGCAAUAGUUGUGUAAACUGUAACCUUGUAAUUUUGCAAGUUCCACUUUAUCAUGUAGCUGUAAAAGGUAAUCAAAAUAAAUCAUGGAUGAAGAAGAAA
This is a long non-coding RNA of Rhineura floridana, 814 nucleotides long. RefSeq lists it as uncharacterized. The transcript has 2 exons. Lineage: Eukaryota; Metazoa; Chordata; Lepidosauria; Squamata; Rhineuridae. The record is from RefSeq and is a predicted model, not a curated record.